Molecule: long non-coding RNA, 1670 nt
Organism: Astatotilapia calliptera (eastern happy)
Lineage: Eukaryota; Metazoa; Chordata; Actinopteri; Cichliformes; Cichlidae
Source: Ensembl
GGGGUUUUUGCCGGAACAGCGAGAGAGAAAAAAAAUAGCCCCCAGUGACCUCCGAGGGCCAUCUGAGAUAAUAAAUCCAUGACCCUGAGUUCCGGAGUGCUUUGGGCAAGCCUCAUCUAGGCCUGGUGGAAUCUGUUGAAAAUGUGUGACAGCUGUGAAAGUUGGCUAGCUCCAGCCUGUGAAUGUAUAAGAUUUGGAUGCGAUUCAGGACCGAGGGGUGCAGGGUGAGGUGCGCUGAGGGAAGGAGGUAAGUGACGGUGGAGAGACUUGUGUUGUUAUGGUGAAGUUCACUUGCCUGCCUACCGUCUCUCUGUGUUUUGCUCCUCCUUUUCUUUGACUUUUCUUUGCUCCAGUGUAACCUUGUUCUUUUUUUUCAUCCAUGACUUUGAAGAGAACCAACUAAAAAGGGAGACAGAGUGGAUAGAUGCCACGACAAUAUUUAAUAAAGCAGGAUGUCAUCACUUUAAUCUAAAUAUACUGUGUUGCCAAACAACACAAUUCUAUGUAUCUGUUCUUGCUUUUGCAACAACAGCUAUAUAGGGGUCAGAUAAAAAUUGAGGGGCAUGUUCUGGGGGCCUCUGGAUGUCUGGAGUUUUGAUCUCCUCCAUACCUGCUUCAUGCCCUGGAGGACGGUGCUGUGGCCCCCCCCCACACCCUCUAGCAGAUCAUUACAUGAAGGAACCUUUUAAAAAACAAAAAACAAACGCGUCCAUGCUCACAGGUGUACACACGGGUGAUCACACCCACAAACUACACCCUUUUUGGCUCCUACCUCAAAGCACACUGUGUUCUGUUGAUCUUAUGUGCUGCACAAUAAUGUUUAAUAUUUAGUAUUUACUGUCAUAUUCCCAUAUAUCAUUGUGAUGUUGUUUAUUCUAUUACUCUUGUUCUCUUCUGCUUGUUUUCUUUUUUCUUUCUCAGCAGGUGACCCAGGUGAUUGAUAUAUGCAUUUUUUUUUCUUUUUUUCUUCUUCUUUUUUCUUUUUCUGCUCAUUCUGUUGGUUUUUGGUUUUUGCCCUUCUCCCCCGUCCCUCUUCUCAGCUGUUUCUCUUUCCCUCUUUCUUUCUCCCCUUCUUUCCCCCAGUCAAGUCUGUCCCAUAUUCAGUAAGUGAAAAUAAAAUAAACAAUAAAAGGUGAAUCAAAUGGACCAUUAUGGCAAGGCUGGGAUGGUCAAUUUGGUAAAGUAAAUCCGUUGGGCAUCUUUCUUUGCCUUUAGACAACAAUUCUGAUGGCAAAAGAGCCAAACGGGACAGGCAAAAAAAAAAUAAAAAAAAUUGAGGGGCAGAUGGCAGUGAAGUGGUGACUGGGGCCACUGCACCAGCCCCGCCCACUACCCUCUGGGUAAUGCACCUGCCUCCCAAGGCCCUGUGUGUGUGGUGAUAUGUUGUGAACUGUAAUGACUAGGGUGUUAUUAUAAAGGAGGGUCGGUGCAUGAAGUACAGCCAACAAAGCCACAUGAAUGGCCUUAGGCACUGUGACCUACGCAACAAAUGUUGCAGACAGCGUUGUCUGUGUCAAGCUUUGACAAGCGUAACCACACCUGAGACUGCUUUCAGCCUGCUACCACUGCCAUUGGCUUGUGUGUUUGUUGCUCCUCAGCAUGUUGCAGGAGUGCUGUCACACGUUGUCACUCUCAUCCAACCCAGAUGUACUUUGGCACCAUAAGUUGGC